This is a long non-coding RNA of Scomber scombrus (Atlantic mackerel), 424 nucleotides long. RefSeq lists it as uncharacterized. The transcript has 4 exons. Lineage: Eukaryota; Metazoa; Chordata; Actinopteri; Scombriformes; Scombridae. The record is from RefSeq and is a predicted model, not a curated record.
GACAUUUCACAAGUUGCUUUUUCUGUUGAGGAACUGGGUGCGUUGAGUUCUAACUGGUUAAAGCUCUCAAGUGUUUGGUUGGUGAGGGUGGUAGCAAGAGCUCCCAAACCUGUAAGGAUGGUGAAAUCUGUGCCACUAUUGCCAUAAAAAGGGGAUGGAGAGGAAAGAUAUUCAAAGUGUGUGCCGCCCUCCCUUUUCAGUGUAGGAAACCACACACUUUCACUCAAUAUUGGUGUUGGCUCUGUGACUGCAGCUGUUCAUAUGUGUAACACAGAUGGCUGCAACAGUGAAGACAUACUGUUCCCUGAUGUUCAGGAGAAAAACAACCUGAAGUGUUUCACCUGUGAUGAUAAAUCGCCUGGUGUGUGUAACAAGACAGUACAGUGUGUGGGAGUGCAGGACCGCUACAUUAAUGGAAUUAAUG